UACAAGGACCCCAAGCGUUAUCCGGAUUUACUGGGCGUAAAGCGUGUGUAGUUGGUCUUGCUAGUCUGAUGUUAAAUCUCCGGGCUUAACCCAGAGGCCGCAUCGGAAACGGCAGGACUCGAGCAGGUAAGAGGCAAGCGGAACGUGCGGUGUAGGGGUGAAAUCCAUUGAUAUUGCACAGAACACCAAAAGCGAAGGCAGCUUGCUAGUGCUUUGCUGACAAUGAGACACGAAAGCGUGGGGAUCAAAAAGG
This 253-nucleotide ribosomal RNA is filed under the name uncultured bacterium. Its description in RNAcentral is "partial 16S ribosomal RNA". It matches the Rfam family "Bacterial small subunit ribosomal RNA", at positions 524 to 776 of the family's 1533-position model. The record is from RNAcentral.